GACAGAGGGUGCAAACGUUGCUCGGAAUUACUGGGCGUAAAGCGCGUGUAGGCGGACCGGAAAGUCGGGCGUGAAAUCCCUGGGCUCAACCCAGGAACUGCACUCGAAACUUCCGGUCUUGAGUGGUGGAGAGGGUAGUGGAAUUCCUGGUGUAGAGGUGAAAUUCGUAGAUAUCAGGAGGAACACCGGUGGCGAAGGCGGCUACCUGGACGCCAACUGACGCUGAGACGCGAAAGCGUGGGGAGCAAACAGG
Molecule: ribosomal RNA, 253 nt
Filed under: uncultured bacterium
Lineage: Bacteria
Description: partial 16S ribosomal RNA
Rfam family: Bacterial small subunit ribosomal RNA
Source: RNAcentral